Equus caballus (horse) is the source of this 2014-nucleotide non-coding RNA. The record is from RefSeq and is a predicted model, not a curated record. Lineage: Eukaryota; Metazoa; Chordata; Mammalia; Perissodactyla; Equidae.
UAAUAAAUAAAACGAUUUAAAGUUUAAAAUUUUAAUAAAUCUUAUUGAAAACUUUUGUAAAAAAAAGUUGCAAUUCUAAUACCCCUCUGGUUGCCACUGUAAAGAGUAGGUAUUACAUUUCGCACCUGUUACAUUGGGGCUCGCAUAUAUGUAAAUUUAAGAAAUAAUACAUUGUUUAACACUGCCAAAUACUCCUGGUCUCCCUCAGUGUGCCCCUCCAUGCCGUGCUGGUUUGUCGCUCUCUCUGGAAUCCUGGGCUGGAACCCAAGGAGAAGCCUUCCGUGGGUGCCUUGCAGGGCUGGGAAAUGAAACUCGGUUACGCAAGAAUAGAUUUCAUUUGACUGGUGUGGGUUGAAUUGUCACCCAAAUUAUUUGUUAAACUCCUAACACCCGAAGCCUUUGAAUGCGCCCUUAUUUGAAACCAGGGUGUUUGCAGAUGUAAUCAGUUAAAAUGGGGUCAUCCUGGGUUAAGGUGGGUCCUGAUCCAAUGAGGGAAACUUGGAACCAGACACCUGCACAAGGAGAAGGCCGUGUCAGGGGGAGGCGGGGAUCGCAGUGAUGCAGCCACAAGGCCGCCUGGAGCCGUCUGAAGCUGGAGGAGCAGAGUCUCCCUUGGCCACUGGAGGGAGCUCAGUCCUGCCCACAUGUUGACUUCAGCCGUCUGGCCCCGAGAACUGUGAGGGAAACACUCCUGUCGUGUUAAGCCACCCAGCUUGUGGUCACUUGCUGCGACCGCCCCAGGAAAGGAAGUCAGCACCUUCUAGGUGGAAAGGCCCACGUUUGUCUCCGGAUGCGUCCUCGCCCCUGAACUGCAGGUGCACAGACGUAUCCAGCCACCGACUGGCACCUCCACGUGGGCGUCUCCAAGGUCACCUGCUGUCUCAGUCAGCUCAGGAAGCUCUAACGAAGCACCACAGACUGAGGGGCCUAUAAACAACAGAUGUUUACUUCUCACUGUUCUAGAGGCUGGGAGUCGGGAUCAGCUGCCGGCAGGCAUCCAAGUCAUUGGCAGAUGCCUUUGGCUCCACUGUUGGAAUUUAUCAAGAACACAAGCCCUUCCCACCGCCUCCUCUCCAGCGUGCCUGCAUCGCCUUCUCCUUGUCCUCAGCUUCCCUGACCUCUUGCCCUCGGGGUGCACCUGUCAAAAUGGAAAUCAGGUCGUGUCGUUCAUCUGCUGAAACCCUCCAUGGCUCCCCGUUUCAUGUGGAGUAAAAGCCUGACGCAGCCUGAAAGUGUCUGUCUCAGCAGGUCUGCGGUGACGCCCCAGAAUCUGCAUUUCUAACGUGUUCCAGCGUGCUGGUGAUGUUGCUGGUCUGGGAGUCACUCUUGGGAGAAUUGCUGAACUAGAUUUUUCUGUGCUGAUCUGGGAAAGUGGCCGUGAUAUGUUGUUAAGUGAAAAAAAGCAAACUAUGGAGAAUAGACCAAUGGUGAGCAAGACUUCCUUUCCAGGGCUACCUGUGGCCAGUCCCCAAGCCAUGGCCUAGAUUUGUGAUGCUUGUGCCCUUCCUGACUCCAGGGGGCAGCAUUCACAUUGUGGUCUUUGUGAAUGGCACUCCUGGAGUUGUGCAGUGCACAACCCAUACAGCUGUACCAGGCAGCCCUGCCCUGUUCUGGGUUUCUCUCCUCCCUCUCCCUUUCUUUUUUGCUUCAGCUGCUCAUGCAGAGGUCAGAGCUGGGAGGAGACCCAGGGAGACAAAAUCAUGGUCCCAGCUCACUCACCCUAUUUGACCUUGGGAAGUCACCUCCGCUGUCAGAGACUCAGUUUACUCAUCUGUAAAAUGGGAUUAUAGAUAUUUACUGGCAUCUAACUUGAGAUCUAUUUGACUCAUUUAUGUUGUCACUGUUGGUCUCUCCUCUUGAAUGUCAGCUUCCCGUACAGUGCUGCAAAAGGGAAUUUCACCUGUCUUGUUCGCUGCUGUAUUUCUGCGCCUGGAAUGGUGCUGGCACACAGUAGGUGCCUAACAAAUAUUUGUCAAAUCAAAGAAAGAAUAAAUGAACAGUCUGGUUGGGAGGA